RNAcentral lists this transfer RNA (69 nucleotides) under Rhizobiales bacterium 39-66-18. RNAcentral's name for it is "tRNA-Pro". The record is from RNAcentral. Lineage: Bacteria; Pseudomonadati; Pseudomonadota; Alphaproteobacteria; Hyphomicrobiales.
CGGGUUUCCGUGCAGAACAGCACGUUCGGGACGUGGGGGUCGCAGGUUCAAAUCCUGCCACUCCGACCA